UGUCUCCGUUGGUGAACCAGCGGAGGGAUCAUUAUCGAGUUAUUCAACUCCCAAACCCUAUGUGAACUUACCACUUGUUGCUUCGGCGCGCGCUUCGGCGCCGCCGAGGACACUUAAACUCUUUGUUUUUAUAAGCAUUUCUGAGUGGCCGAAAGGCAAAAAUACAAAUGAAUCAAAACUUUCAACAACGGAUCUCCUGGUUCUGGCAUCGAUGAAGAACGCAGCGAAAUGCGAUAAGUAAUGUGAAUUGCAGAAUUCAGUGAAUCAUCGAAUCUUUGAACGCACAUUGCGCCCGCCAGCAUUCUGGCGGGCAUGCCUGUUCGAGCGUCAUUUCAACCCUCGAGCCCGACUCUUUUGAGGACGGCUCGGCGUUGGGGGACGGCAGACUCCCCCCGGCAUCUCGCCGGGGACGCCGCCCCCGAAAUCUAGUGGCGGCCCUCCGAGGCGACCUCUGCGUAGUAACUUGUUCUCGCACCGGAAAGCUCAGAGCGGCCACGCCGUAAAACCCCAACUUUUUGCAGGUUGACCUCGAAUCAGGU
This 539-nucleotide ribosomal RNA is filed under the name uncultured eukaryote. Its description in RNAcentral is "eukaryotic LSU rRNA". The stretch from base 177 to 330 matches the Rfam family "5.8S ribosomal RNA". The record is from RNAcentral.